Molecule: transfer RNA, 72 nt
Filed under: Dipodomys ordii (Ord's kangaroo rat)
Lineage: Eukaryota; Metazoa; Chordata; Mammalia; Rodentia; Heteromyidae
Rfam family: tRNA
About the family: Transfer RNA (tRNA) molecules are approximately 80 nucleotides in length.
Source: Rfam by way of RNAcentral
GGGAAUAUGGCUUAGUGGUAGAGUGCCUACCUAGCAUGCAUAAAGCCCUGGGUUUGAUUCCCAGUAUUACAU